Molecule: ribosomal RNA, 774 nt
Filed under: uncultured Neocallimastigales
Lineage: Eukaryota; Fungi; Neocallimastigomycota; Neocallimastigomycetes; Neocallimastigales
Description: partial large subunit ribosomal RNA
Rfam family: Eukaryotic large subunit ribosomal RNA
Source: RNAcentral
UACUAGAGUAGCACUCGCAUAUCAAUAAGCGGAGGAAAAGAAACUAACAAGGAUUCCCCUAGUAACGGCGAGUGAAGCGGGAAGAGCUCAAAUUUGAAAUCUUAAAGGGUUUCCCUUUACGAAUUGUAGUUUAAAGAAGUGUUUUCUGUUGAGGUUUUGGUAAAAGUUCUUUGGAAUAGGACAUCAUAGAGGGUGAGAAUCCCGUAUUUGACCUUUACUUUCAACUUUGUGAUACACUUUCAAAGAGUCGGAUUGUUUGGGAAUGCAGUCCAAAAUGGGUGGUAAAUUUCAUCUAAAGCUAAAUAUUGGCGAGAGACCGAUAGCGAACAAGUACCGUGAGGGAAAGAUGAAAAGAACUUUGAAAAGAGAGUUAAACAGUACGUAAAAUUGUCAAAAGGGAAGCGUUUGACACCAGUGUUGUUUUUCUGAAAAUCAAUUAAAGAACUGUUUAUGCUAAGCUGUUUAGACUUUAUCAGCUAUCUGUUUAGUUUUGAGCUUUUCUUUAAUGCACUUUUCAGUUAACAAGUCGACAUCAAUUUCUUUUGCUGUAAAAAAGCUUGAGGAAGGUGGCUUGAGAUUCGUCUUAAGUGUUUAUAGCCUCUUGCCUAUGCAGUCGGAGAGAUUGAGGUCUGCAGCGUAGAUCCUUCGGGGCUAAAUGCAUUUGUGCUAAGUUAUAGCAUUUUAUAGACAACUUGUUGACUAUGAUUUGUCUUGUAGCUUACUCGCUUAUGUUAUUUUACCUACGCUUAGGAUGUUGAGCGCAUGUCUCUCUCU